AAGAGUGUAAUAUAAAGGUAGUAUAUUGAUCUUCAAAAUCAAUCGUAGGUGUUCAAUUCGCCUCAUUCUUG
RNAcentral lists this transfer RNA (71 nucleotides) under Flammulina velutipes. RNAcentral's name for it is "tRNA-Trp". It matches the Rfam family "tRNA". Rfam says of the family: Transfer RNA (tRNA) molecules are approximately 80 nucleotides in length. Their secondary structure includes four short double-helical elements and three loops (D, anti-codon, and T loops). Lineage: Eukaryota; Fungi; Basidiomycota; Agaricomycetes; Agaricales; Physalacriaceae. The record is from RNAcentral.